This 497-nucleotide ribosomal RNA is filed under the name uncultured bacterium. RNAcentral's name for it is "partial 16S ribosomal RNA". It matches the Rfam family "Bacterial small subunit ribosomal RNA", at positions 28 to 507 of the family's 1533-position model. The record is from RNAcentral.
GAUGAACGCUGGCGGCGUGCCUAAUACAUGCAAGUCGAGCGAACGGACGAGAAGCUUGCUUCUCUGAUGUUAGCGGCGGACGGGUGAGUAACACGUGGAUAACCUACCUAUAAGACUGGGAUAACUGCGGGAAACCGUAGCUAAUACCGGAUAAUAUUUUGAACCGCAUGGUUCAAAAGUGAAAGACGGUCUUGCUGUCACUUAUAGAUGGAUCCGCGCUGCAUUAGCUAGUUGGUAAGGUAACGGCUUACCAAGGCAACGAUGCAUAGCCGACCUGAGAGGGUGGUCUGCCACACUGGACCUGAGACCCGGUGCCGAGGCAUACAGGAGGCAGAAGUAGGGAAUCUUCCGCAAUGGGCGAAAGCCUGACGGAUCAACGCCGCGUGAGUGAUGAUGGUCUUCGGAUCGUAAAACUCUGUUAUUGGGGAAGAACAUAUGUGUACGUAACUGUGCACAUCUUGACGGUACCUAAUCAGAAAGCCACGGCUAACUACGUG